AUUGAACGCUGGCGGCAUGCUUUACACAUGCAAGUCGAACGGCAGCGCGGGCUUCGGCCUGGCGGCGAGUGGCGAACGGGUGAGUAAUACAUCGGAACGUGCCCAGUAGUGGGGGAUAGCUCGGCGAAAGCCGGAUUAAUACCGCAUACGACCUGAGGGUGAAAGCGGGGGAUCUUCGGACCUCGCGCUAUUGGAGCGGCCGAGGGCAGAUUAGCUAGUUGGUGGGGUAAAGGCCUACCAAGGCGACGAUCUGUAGCUGGUCUGAGAGGACGACCAGCCACACUGGGACUUGGACACGGCCCAGACGCCUACGGGAGGCAGCAGUGGGGAAUGUUGGGCAAUGGGCGAAAGCCUGAUCCAGCAGUGCCGCGUGUGUGAUGAAGGCCUUCGGGUUGUAAAGCACUUUUGGCGGGAACGAAAAGGACUGUGCUAAUACCACGGUUCGGUGACGGUACCCGCAGAAUAAGCACCGGCUAACUACGUG
This 484-nucleotide ribosomal RNA is filed under the name uncultured bacterium. RNAcentral's name for it is "partial 16S ribosomal RNA". It matches the Rfam family "Bacterial small subunit ribosomal RNA", at positions 28 to 507 of the family's 1533-position model. The record is from RNAcentral.